Molecule: long non-coding RNA, 507 nt
Organism: Bolinopsis microptera
Lineage: Eukaryota; Metazoa; Ctenophora; Tentaculata; Lobata; Bolinopsidae
Exons: 4
Source: RefSeq, a predicted model, not a curated record
GUAGCUGCAGAAUCUACAUCCACAAAUAAUUUGUUGAGGAGAGUUCGUUGUUACUCAGCUUUAAUCCUUUUGAUUUCGUAUAAGCUUACACUGAACCCGGCCUGAUUAUUGAUUUGUAAACUUGUUUUAAUCGACGCAUCUUUGUCGGCGAAACAUUUAUAUAACGUUUUGGCAGUAUUUUUUCAGUGGCUGAAUUAAAGAAACAUUUAAAAUACGAUUCUGAGAAGAAGACUAUUUCCUAAAUCCUUAUUGUGAGCUAUAUCUUGCGAAGGCUCUAUCCUACCCGGCCCAAGGUUAUCAGAUUUCAGUGAACAGAAGUAGAAGAUCAUAACGACUUAUUCAAGAAACUACUUCCUAACUUUAGUCAAUCCUGUGAAGACUCUAUACUACCAGCUAUAUUAUCAGAUUUCGGUGAACAGAAGUAGAAGAUCAUAACGACUUAUUCAAGAAACUACUUCCUAACUUUAGUCAAUCCUGUGAAGACUCUAUACUACCAGCUAUAUUAUC